RNAcentral lists this unclassified non-coding RNA (295 nucleotides) under Hevea brasiliensis (rubber tree). Lineage: Eukaryota; Viridiplantae; Streptophyta; Magnoliopsida; Malpighiales; Euphorbiaceae. The record is from RNAcentral.
AAGCGAUUUGGAAUGCAAAUGUCUUGUGUUUUGGAACGCGAGAUCUGGGUCGCGGAACCCAGGGGGUUAGGAGAAUCUGUCAACUAUGAAAUUGAGUUUAAAUUGAAACUUAUACAAAAAGUUGAAAAUGAGUUAAGUUGAACUUUUCUAGUAAGUAUAGGGGAGCCAUUUUAUUUUGCUUUUAAUUGGUCCUACAUUUAUUUGUCUUUCAUGGCAAUACUCCUUCAAAUCUGAUUUUAUAAAUGAGAGGCAUAUCCUAAAAUGUGAUUUGAAAAUGUUAAUCUUGUUUUGCAGG